This 579-nucleotide unclassified non-coding RNA is filed under the name Hevea brasiliensis (rubber tree). The record is from RNAcentral. Lineage: Eukaryota; Viridiplantae; Streptophyta; Magnoliopsida; Malpighiales; Euphorbiaceae.
UAUGGGUCCACUAUUUUUGGAGUUGGGAAUCCCUCCUCAGGUAUCAAGUGCAACAGCCACUUUUGCAAUGACUUUCUCCUCAUCCAUGUCUGUUGUAGAAUACUACCUUCUGAAACGUUUUCCAGUUCCUUAUGCUCUUUACUUUGUAGCUGUGGCUACACUUGCUGCCUUAAUAGGGCAGCACAUUGUGAGAAGGUUGAUCAUUAUGUUUGGAAGGGCAUCGCUUAUCAUCUUCAUCCUAGCUUUCACCAUAUUUGUUAGUGCAAUUUCACUAGGUGGUGUUGGCAUAUCGAACAUGAUCAGGAAGAUACAGCAUAACGAAUACAUGGGAUUUGAGAACCUCUGCAAAUAUGAGGGCUAGAGGUAGCAUUUUUCAUUAAAAUUUUGUCAUGUUAUUCGGUGUUCAAGGUUCCCAGAUGCUGUAAUAUUUGUUGACGCUACUGCAAGUUCUUGGACUUGGGGUGGUGGGAGGAAAGGAUGAUCACCAACUGAUUUUAAUAUUCUUCUUAGAACUUACUGUAUACACUUUCACUUCAUACUUAGGAUAAGGAGACAAGGCGCACUGGAUUUUUUUUUUUU